RNAcentral lists this ribosomal RNA (497 nucleotides) under uncultured bacterium. Its description in RNAcentral is "partial 16S ribosomal RNA". It matches the Rfam family "Bacterial small subunit ribosomal RNA", at positions 28 to 507 of the family's 1533-position model. The record is from RNAcentral.
GAUGAACGCUGGCGGCGUGCCUAAUACAUGCAAGUCGAGCGAACAGACGAGGAGCUUGCUCCUCUGACGUUAGCGGCGGACGGGUGAGUAACACGUGGAUAACCUACCUAUAAGACUGGGAUAACUUCGGGAAACCGGAGCUAAUACCGGAUAAUAUCUUGAACCGCAUGGUUCAAUAGUGAAAGACGGUUUUGCUGUCACUUAUAGAUGUAUCCGCGCCGCAUUAGCUAGUUGGUAAGGUAACGGCUUACCAAGGCAACGAUGCGUAGCCGACCUGAGAGGGUGAUCGGCCACACUGGAACUGAGACACGGUCCAGACUCCUACGGGAGGCAGCAGUAGGGAAUCUUCCGCAAUGGGCGAAAGCCUGACGGAGCAACGCCGCGUGAGUGAUGAAGGUCUUCGGAUCGUAAAACUCUGUUAUUAGGGAAGAACAAAUGUGUAAGUAACUAUGCACGUCUUGACGGUACAUAAUCAGAAAGCCACGGCUAACUACGUG